GAUGAACGCUGGCGGCGUGCUUAACACAUGCAAGUCGAACGAAGCACUUUAUUUGAUUUCCUUCGGGACUGAUUAUUUUGUGACUGAGUGGCGGACGGGUGAGUAACGCGUGGGUAACCUGCCUUGUACAGGGGGAUAACAGUUGGAAACGGCUGCUAAUACCGCAUAAGCGCACAGCAUCGCAUGAUGCAGUGUGAAAAACUCCGGUGGUAUAAGAUGGACCCGCGUUGGAUUAGCUAGUUGGUGAGGGAACGGCCCACCAAGGCGACGAUCCAUAGCCGACCUGAGAGGGUGACCGGCCACAUUGGGACUGAGACACGGCCCAAACUCCUACGGGAGGCAGCAGUGGGGAAUAUUGCACAAUGGGCGAAAGCCUGAUGCAGCGACGCCGCGUGAGCGAAGAAGUAUUUCGGUAUGUAAAGCUCUAUCAGCAGGGAAGAUAAUGACGGUACCUGACUAAGAAGCACCGGCUAAAUACGUG
This 481-nucleotide ribosomal RNA is filed under the name uncultured bacterium. Its description in RNAcentral is "partial 16S ribosomal RNA". It matches the Rfam family "Bacterial small subunit ribosomal RNA", at positions 28 to 507 of the family's 1533-position model. The record is from RNAcentral.